CGAGCAUACUACAUAAUCUUUCCAAUUUUCACUAAAAUUAUCUCACAACUCAUUUGCAGGCUAUAAGGAACUGGAUUUAGAGAGGGCCUACCAAAUAGAGAUUUCUUUUACAGUAAAACCUAUUUCUCUCGGUAAUGCUACACUUUCAAAUUUGAAAAUUUCGUGAGAUAAUCGCUUGAAGAAAACCUUAAUUGAUUGUUGAUCUUGAUUGAAAACUGUUGAUUUCAGCAAGCUAACUCUCAAAGAGUUUAAAAAGGAGGAGCAUGAGCAGUAUGUAUAUCUUUUUCUUUUUUCUUAAUUUUUUAUAAAUGAUUUGGGGGUAAACAUUGAACCUUAUAUCUCCUCCAUCCACCAAUAUCAAUUUCCAUCUUUGUUCUUCCACUUCCUUUCCACCUCUCUCUGGUACUUUUUAAUUUAAAAAUGUAUCUGUAAAUUUUUUUCUGAAUUUUAUUUGCUUUCUGCAGUGUUUCGAAUCUUCCGAUUGCAUCAGAAAUGAAUUAAUAUCUGCACAUUUGAUUUUUCAUUUACUGGCUUUUUUCUGGUAAUGGGUUUUAUUCAUGAACAUUCUCAUAGCUGCAAAUUUGAUUAAUUGUUUUUUGAACCUUUGGAUGUUACCAAGAUUUGAUUUUUGCUAAAGGAUCUAUCUAAUUACAUUGGUUUGUGUUUUUUUUUAGUUGAUCUUUCUUUUAAUUUAAUCAUCUUGAAAUAAAAUUGGAAUAACUGCAUGUUUUCCUUUCACAGUUUACUUUUGAAGUUUUUGGAUAGAUUGACUUGACCUUCACAUUUCUGUGAAUUUUUGCGUUAGUUGGUAUGCCUUUCUUCCUUAUCAUACUACACAAAGUGUGACAGCCCGUCCUAGAUAUUUUUAUCGGUGGUGUGGAAUGACUAAAGUACCCCUAGACGUUGUGUAGUAGUGUGGUUUAAGUUUGGGUUUUAUACUAAGCUAGUUAGUUUCUCAGUUUUUGGAACUUAAAGUUAGUGGUUUUGUUGUGUUAGUAAACCAAAAUUGGACCACACACUUUCACACACCCAUACCCUUACCAGUUGAUCUUUCUCUCUCCUCCCUCUCUUGAACUUCUUUCCAUUUCCGUACGAUUGUACGGACAAACUUCAAACCAUAUCAUUUCUUCACGGAUCAAGGUUUUGGAAGCCAUCUUUGUGUUCCUUGUGAACUCAGGAACACAUCCAUACCAUUUUUAGAACGUGAGAGCUUGUAAAACCCGAGAACCCAUAAUCUCAUAUUUGGGUCACUGUUCAUGCAGUCGUAAACGUGGACCUUUCAGCGAGUUUUAAGGUCAUAGGAAGCCUUAAAACAUCUUCACGAAGCUCGGGGAAUAACUUUUGAGUGAUUUGGACGUCGAGAGGCUCGAGUUCAACGAGUUGCAGUUUUGGCCGGAUUAUCAAGGUUUCUCCGGCGAGAUUCCGUGGAUUUUAGAACUUAAAAUUGGUAAGGUUUGUUCUACUCGUUGUAAGCUUCAUUUUGAGACAAAUUUCAUGAAGUUUGGUUAAGAAAUAAAGAAGAUAUAAAGGUUUCAAUAUUUUUCCAGUUUUCGGCGAUCGUAGCAGCACCGGCGCCGGACUCCGACGAACCAAGGAAGAAGGAGGAGAAUAUUCCAUCAAAGUUGACGGAAUAUUCUAACGCCGUCAGGUAAUUCUAAAGGUAUAUGCGGUUUUUUAACAGAAUAUUCCCUAACACCGUUAGGGAAUCCGUUUGUGUGCCAGGCAAGUGCCUGCGCGUGAGCUGCACGUCUGGCCGUGCAAUGUAUGAGAAGUUAUGGUGGUAUAUGUUUCUAAAAAUAUGGGGAUGUUCUUGAGGUUGAGUAGGUCAUGGUGGUAUAUUAAAAUACCCCAUUUUAACAAUGUAUGAGAAGUUACUUCCUAGUUUUAUGUAUGUACUUUAAAUAACGUUUAUUUAGUUAUUUCGCAUAUAGGUGAGACCUAUUCGGAGGACGAGCGCUAUCAAUCGAGGUUCGGGGGCUACGACCCUUCGACAUAUCAGUGAGUGGCCUUUUGGUUUUUCAUAUAUACCUAUAUAUACUUGAGAUUUUUCUCAAAAAAUAAAAUUUAAUGAUUAUACGUUUUGAAAUGCCAUGCAAAGUAUCUGCCUACUUUAUUUAUGCACUGCAUAUGUUUAUGAUUGGUGUUGUGGACGCACAGGUAAAGGCCAGGUAAGUUCAUGAAUUAAAGAUAUGAGAUUAAUUCAGUUAUGCGAGAUAUGAUGUGAUAUAUUGAGAGCUUAUAAACCUGCACCUCGGUGUUAGUGCUCCCGCCCAGAGUUAGGGCACAGUCAUUCAUGUGAUGUUCACCUCCCCCACCAUAUGCUCACCUUGGAUCCAAGUUAGGUGCACAGGCUUGUUGUACAGACCACAUUAGGUGGUUCCGGCUUGUAGGUGACCCGUGAUUUAUCGCACAACCUUUAAGUGAUUGUAGCAUUAUAGCAUAUUUAUUUUAGACCUAGUCUAGUCGUACAGACCACUUUAGGUGGUUCCGACUCGUGUGUAGAAUUUGAUAUGAUUGAGAUUGGUUAUGAGUUAUAUACUUAGCCGUACAAGUAUUUUAGUUGGAUUCGGCUGAUAUGAUAUCUAGCAUUGAUAUAUUUUAGUUGGAUUACUUAUGGCAUUUCAUUGAGAUACUUUGGCAUGGUAUAUUCCUAUGGAUUUUCAUCCUGAGCAUGAUAUUUGAUAUAGCAUAUAUUAUAUUUCUGGAAAAUUAUACAGGUUUUACGGCGAGGGGUUCAAACUUUUGAGAAAUGAGAUGAUUUUGAAAAACUUUGUUUAUGCCCACUCACACUUUCAGUUUUGUGCCCCUCUAGGUUUUAGGUAGAAGUGCUUUGGUGGCUCACGAGGAUUUCGACGGUGGUUCUGACAGAACAUCACAAAUGUAGGAUCACCUUUGGGUGUUAUAUCUAGUACUUGUUCAGUCGGACAGCACUUAGGCAAUUUAUGCUCUGAUUGUGUAUUUCACACUUAAUUUCGCACUUGCACCUUAUCUUAAUUAGUACUGCUAAUAGUUGGAUUUUUUAUUUAUUCAUAUUUCUCUAUAUCAAUUUUGCUUUCGCACUAUGCACAUUGUUACGUGACUCUCACGUGACGACCAGCAUGCUAUGAUUCAGGUCGGGGUGUGUCAUAAAGGGUGAUGAACAAAUGGGGGGAAUUUGUGUCUAAAAUUACCUUCUCGAUGUUAUAUGUUUCCUUAUUAUUGAAGUCAUGGUAUUCUAUAGUUGCAGUUGGUUAGGUGCUUACGAUCUUUUGCAGGAAACAUCAAAUGUAUAAACUCUCUGUACCAUCAAAUGUAUAAUUAACUUUAUAUUUUGACUUUCAAGUUGUUUUGUGUUUUGGUACCAAUACUUGAUGUUUCAGUUGGCACCUCAGUCCUCCCCCUCAAUUAUUUCAGUUGGCACCUCAGUCAUCCCCCUCUUUUUUAUCCUACAACUUACUAUGUUGUCAUGUUUUCUUUUUUCGGGCUCUUUCGAAUUUUAUAAAUCUGAUUCAAGUUAUUAAAACACAUACAAUUCAUGUUUUUUUAUGGUUUUACAGACUCAUUGGUUGCAGACCUAUUCAUCGGUGAUCGAAGAAAAGGAAAGGUGGGAAAGUCCAUUCUUGCUGUAGAGGUCAUGUUGGCAGUGAGCCUUGAAGAAAACGAAAGGUGAGAAUAGCAGAACAAUUGGCUUUUUUUUCUUUUAGCACCGAGUUAUUUCCAAAAAUUCCCCUAACCUUAAUUACCAUUGGCACUUUCGACACUUUCAAAAUGUGUUUGCAUUUUAUGAAUGGCCUUCUAUGUUAUACAUGCAAAUAGUUAUAGUUAUCAGAACAUCUAUCUGAUGUUUUCUACCUCAUCCAACAGCUUAAUUACACUCCCACUAUUUUGGUUAGAAGUUAAUUAGAAGAGUCUUCAUUCCAUCGACAUCCUUUCCUUUACAAUUUAUGCUGAAAAUUAAUUGCAACAUGUAAUAUGAAAGGUUUAGUUGACAUGUUAACUUUCAGAAGCAUGAGAUGAUCAACAUUAAAUGUGCAUGAUACCUUUUUUUUAUCCUACUGGGUUGUCUUCAUCUUCAGUGCAAGAGGGUAAACCAAUUCCCCAACACCCAUUUGGGUCUGCCCUCCAGUAGGAAAGGAUAAACUAAUUGCUCUCCAGUGUGAGAGGGUAAACCAAUUCUCCGACACCCAUAUGGGUCUGCUCUCCAAUGCGAUAGGGUAAACCAAUUCCUCGACACCCAUAUGGGUAAUCUCUCCAGUACAAGAGGGUAAACUAAUUGCUCUUCAGUGCGAAAGGGUAAACUAAUUGCUCUCCAGUGUGUGAGGGUAAACUAAUUCCCCGACACCCAGCUAGGUAAGCUCUCCAGUGAGAGAAGGCCACAUAGCUCAAAAGAUUAAAUGCUUAAAGACCAACUAGGCAGCGAAUGGUCAGAGGGCAACAACCACUUUGCAAUCAACAGUUCACUUAUUCGUCACUUCAUCUUUAGCAUCUUCGAUCUUGGCAGCUCCAUCUACAGCAUCUGAGAAAUCAAACUCGAGCAGUUUCCUCAUUUUUGGCAAGCAACCCAGACGAGGCAACCCAAACCGUGGCCUAUGUCGAGCUAGUCCUUACCUUCAGUCAAGCCGGCAUAAGCAAUGGCCCUUGCCACACUACCUCCUUGGCCCAUGCUAAGCCAACUCUUGGCCCCUACUAGCCAACGUGCCGCACCAUCCCAACGGUUGCCCCGUGGUAGCACCACCCAAAAAGAAGACAAGGAGAAUUAAGUUUUUCUUACAUCGGUGCGACGCAUAGAAGACAAAGAAAUCAAAGGAAGACGGUUCUUUACACAGGCAAGCAAAGAAGAGUGUUAGGGGAGGGGGAACAAAUAUCCUCUAGUUUUCUCUCCUUCUUGUAAGGACAAAUAGUUAUCCUUCGAAGUUGAUUUAAUCCCCUACUUAAGGUAGGCUUAAAUAGGCUUUGGAUGCGAUUUAUUUCCCUUUCCUAGAAAAAUCUAAUUCCAAGUCCAAGUGAGAAUCUGCAUCAAAACUGGAGUAGACCUGCUGCCCUUUCUUGUGAGCAGCCCAAUAGGUGUGGGUGGGGGCAUUUGUGAAGUAAAAAAUAAUCAAGAAAAUUAUGGAGGCGACACAUAUACUUUCAGGUGAAAAAGGACAAUAUUACCCUCAAGGCACACCUGAACUUCUACACGCAAGCAGCAGACAAUCAUGGCACAAUCAAGGUCAAAAGUGAUCAAAAUAUGUAUUUGUUCAAAACCUAUUUCAUCCAUCCUCAUCAAAUCCUCCCCACAAGGUAACCUUCAAUUAUUCAUUCAAAAUAGGAUUAAUUACCUAAAUUAAUUGAUUAAUUUCCUAAUUAAUUAAUUAAUUAUCUAAUUAGUUUCCUAAUUGAUUGCAAGAUAUUAUUUUGACAUAAUAUCUUGCAAUUACACAAAAAAAACCACCAUAUGUGGCUGAUUCCCAUCUCUCCAAAGGGGGCCGGCCACACCCCUAUAAAUACCACCUCAUUUCUCCAAAAACCUAAUUCCAACUCUCUAGCAAAAUUCUCCAAAAUUCUCUACACUUUUCCCUCAAAUUCUAACUUUGGCAUCGAAGGUUCUUUGGCAAAAGUCCCCCCCCCCCAAUUCAUCGUGGGCAUGCGAGGCUUUUGGCCUUGGCCUAAGGUGUUAAUUGUUUUGUAGGUGCAUUUUCGUCCAAGAAGGAGAAGGCGGAAAUUUGCAUCCACAAUAAUGCAUACACAAUUUAUGUAGAAUCUAAAAUUCGAAAAACGUAAAGUUGGGUCAUGCAAUGCUCAUGCUAUCAGGGCUACAAAAAUAUCGAGAUAAAAACCGUUGUUUUGAAAGAACCUGAUUGUGUGAUAAUAUUGAUGAACUGGUUUGAUGCCGAAAACUUCCACAUCAUAUUCCUAAGCGCAUCGGUAGGAGCGUGCUGAUAACGUGUUGUGGUCUAUAUUUAACUGACGGGGAAAAGGGGCCGGAGAAAAUAUAGAGAGAGAUGUGUUUGUAAGAUUGUAUAGAGGAUGUGUUAUUCCCCGCAUUUAUUCAUUUCAUUAGUUUGAUAUUUUCAUUUAGCUUCGUGUUCACCGAUGAUGGUGCUGCUGUUCAUGAAAAAAUCAAACAUAUUAUUACAUGCACAUUCGAUAAACCAAACCAACACGUGCGGUAAUUUUUGAUUGUUUCCGUCGAAGCUGACCCAACAAGCAAGCAAAGAUACACAUGUUUGUUUGAUCCAUUCUACCAAUUGAAGGCAAGAUUUUGCAACUAUUUUCACAACCAAGGUAUAAAAUAUCGAUGAUAUCGGAAAUAUCGGUAGUUCAAAAAUACGGAAAUUUCGAUAGAAAUACCGGGAUAUUAUCGAUAUCGAUAAAAAUUGAAUAAAAACCACGGAAAUUGUAAGAAAAACUUGGAAAUUUUUAUUGAAACUUUGCAGGAUGUUUAUUUAGUCAAUUAUUUAUUAGUUUAUCACAAAAAAAUUG
This 6444-nucleotide long non-coding RNA is filed under the name Malus domestica (apple). Its description in RNAcentral is "long non-coding RNA (MDOM_LNC013050)". Lineage: Eukaryota; Viridiplantae; Streptophyta; Magnoliopsida; Rosales; Rosaceae. The record is from RNAcentral.